Molecule: ribosomal RNA, 726 nt
Filed under: Triticum aestivum (bread wheat)
Lineage: Eukaryota; Viridiplantae; Streptophyta; Magnoliopsida; Poales; Poaceae
Description: partial small subunit ribosomal RNA
Source: RNAcentral
AUGGAAUUGGAGGAGGGGGCAGAGACAGCAAUUCGGCCAUAUCCGAAAGGCAUCCAUCCCUUCCACCAUCGUCGCCGACCCGGCCCGGCGGUUUCUCGGAUUCCGCGAAUAUAUCCUAUCCAGCAAAUCCAUCCAUCACCCGGCCAUCCCUCGCCCAUAAAUUGCACGCCCCCGAGACGUUUCUUGCCACCGUGGAGUUCGCCCAGCUCUCUCUCAUCUCUCAUUUCCUUGGCUACGUACUUCUUCCACCUCCCCCUCUCUCCCACGCACCUCUCUCUCAGCGCUUCGGCGAUCGGAGCAAGCCGCUUGUUGGGUUCUUUGCUUGGCAUGCCUAGGUGCACCUCGUCGGUCAAUUACCAAACGGAGACAGCGGCCAUGUCGGAGCUCAUCUGCAACGGCUGCUUCAGCCUGGUGCUCUACAACCGCGGCGCAGCCAACGUACGCUGCUCCCGAUGCAACAUGCUCAACUCCACAAGAUCAGCGAGCCAGUACGCCCACCUGAAGUGCGGUGGCUGCCGGACGACGCUCAUGUACCCGCCGGGGGCCUCCACCGUGGGGUGCGCCACGUGCCACCACGUCAACCCCGUCAGAGCCCAGGGCUCCUCGGCUCCUCCGGAUGCCCAUGCCCGGCCUCAGACAGUUCUCGUGGAGAAUCCCAGGACAAUGAACGACAAGGGCAAACUGGUCAGCAAUGUGGCGGUCGGUGUCACCUCAUGGAAAAGAUGA